This 3012-nucleotide long non-coding RNA is filed under the name Aquilegia coerulea. Its description in RNAcentral is "long non-coding RNA (ACOE_LNC001605)". The record is from RNAcentral. Lineage: Eukaryota; Viridiplantae; Streptophyta; Magnoliopsida; Ranunculales; Ranunculaceae.
UUUCGACCCUUCGUUGAGUUAUGAAGAGUGGGAGCAAAAGAUGAAGCAGGCCACCGUAAGAGCUGAGUUCGUUGAAGGUGGUUCUUUCCACACUUUUUAGCGGUUUUGUAAUCAGGCCCUUACAGAACAUAUGAUAAUCAAUCUACUCUCUUCCUGAUUAGAAUCGAAAGUGGGGUCCUAGUGUUAGAUGCAGUACAUAUGGACAAACCAAUUGCCUGAUUAGGAUGUAUUUUUAGCAGCAAUGUUCAUAUGCUUCUUGAUCAGAGAUAUAUAUUUAUUUUGGAAGAAGUCUAUGGUUACUCAUUAUUUUUGUUUGAUAUAUAUGCUAUUUCGACCCUUCAUUGAGUUAAGAGUAGGAACAGUAGUUAAGACUUGGUUCUCCACAAAUUGGUAUUUAUUUUGCCUAAUUGAUAUGUUUCUUGAGGCAGCCAUGUUCUGCUGCUUCUUGAUCUGAGAGAGAGGUAUUUAUUUUAAUAGAAGUCGAUGGCAUACUCAGUAUUCUGGGAUUGUCUAUCGCAGUGCUUUUGUUUUCAUAAUAAUAUAUACCUUAUUUCUAGGCCAUAAUAAAGACAUGUUGGACAAGUAUUUCCUGUGUCUCUCGUGUUAGCUGUAAUUGUCUGAAAUGGUGUAUUGAAGGGCUAAGAUAGUUUGGCAUGUUUAAAUUGGCUUUGGUCACUACAGUAUGAUUGUUCACCUGGAAUACAUGACAACCUUCACAUCUUUUGCUUGAUUUGAAUGACAACUCACAACUAUGAACUAUCCUUGGCAGCAGUUGAUAUAAAGGCACUAAAACGCUAGUUAUCUGAGGAGAAUGACUGAAUGGGCGACUAAAUUUUUUCAAUCUUUUCACAGUUUCUCAAUGGUUAUAGAAAAAUAGAUUUGGGCAACUGUUUAAACAGAUUUUACUUGAUUGUAAGGUGAGAAUGGGUGGUAUCGGAAAUAAACAGAUUUGGGCAACUGUAUUUCCAAUAAAAUCCUGAAAGGAAAGACAAAUAAGAAGAUGUCUGACUCUAAAAGAGUCACAAGGAAAUUGUUCAAGAAAGGCUAUUACGCUGAAAGAUGUCUUAACUUGUCUUGUGAAUUCUAUAAAUAUAGAACUGUGAUAUGAUGGAGACCGACGUUAGGGAAAGAGAGAGCAAGAGAAAAGAAGAGAGAUUUCAAAAAACAAAAACAAACCGACAGACAGAAAAUUGAAAAUUAAAAAUAGAAAAAGGGGACAGACACGAGUUUGAGUUCCACCUGACUCUAAAGGAACCUCCUAACGUCGGUCGAUUAAAUUCAAUAGUUAGAAUAGUUAAACUUUACAAUCCUGAUAGAAAGUUAUAAAUGAAUUGAAAAGCAGACAAACAAUUAUCAAACGUUCUGCGAGCAGAGCAGAUGUAUAUAAAAAUCUGGAAAAGGAACAAAUGCCACACAUAUUAGUGAAUUGCUGGUAAAUAAAUCUGCAAGUAGCAAUGAGUCUGCGUGUGUUAGGAUAACAUGAACUUCAAGAACUAAUAAUUGAUACGAUAGGAUAACAUGAAGAGAUGAAUGAAUAGAGUAGUUAUCGGAACCAGUACCUAAAGAUGUGAAGCGAUUGUUGUAACUCGGAAUUGCCACGAAACAACAGUAUUUGGCCUAUCUGUUCUUUACCAUGGUCCUGAUACAAUUGCUCGAAAUCUACCAAUUUUUUUUUCUUACUUGCUUAAAAGUUAUGUUAUCUUAGCUUUAUGUAUAUGUAAUGAGCUAACAUUUCUCUCCAUCAGAUUAGUUCAUAGUUCAUACAUAGAUUGGCUUUAUCAUACGCUCACUUGAAUCACUCUUAAUGGAUAGCCUAUAACCAGACACUUUGCCCUGCUUCUCAUAAAUUAUUAUGCUCUGGAUAAGCAGAUUGUGUAAUAACAUCACUAUCCUCCUUGUGAAGUUGUAAGGCACAUAAAUAUGGCAAUUGGAUUGAAUCGAAUGCAAAAUAAAGAUGUUUUAAGAGAGAUAUAUACUUAAUUAGACCUUUUUAUUGGCAGCACAACAACAACGUGGCCGUGGUCAGUUCCGUACCUGAGAUUUUUAUUGGCAGCACAACAACAACAACAACGACGACAUUGUUGGUUAGAAAAAUGAUGUCUCCCACUCUCCAGCGUUGAAGUGGUCAUGUAACAAGGUUACCCUGUGACCAUUGCCAAUUUCUAGUCAUAUAUGGCUUUGAAAAUUAGAACCAGAUCGAUCAAUUCCAGAAUCAUGCCGAUUCUGAUAAGAUGGGGCAGAUUGUAAUUUUAGGUCAUUAGUAAAACUAUAUAAAAACACAAGUAAAACCCUAGUUUUCUCUUCAAACACAAAAGAAAGAAUAUGGCCGUUCAACCACUACUACACAGUUUCAACUCUAGAGUAUGGGAAUGGGUGGUAUCGGAAAAAAUGAGGGAGUGGGGCGUCUGUUCAAGUUGGACAUCUGAUCUGUUAGAAGAAGAACCAACCUGAGCCGCCGGAAAAAUCUGCUCUUUUUUUCUUGCUAAUGGUAAAAUUAUACUUGCAGUUUCGACCCUUUUUGAGUUAUGAAGACAAGUUGAAGCAUACUACUGUUGUGGUUCUCUCUACUCUUUGUAGUGAUUAGUGUAAUUAAUGUAAUCUGAUCCAGAAAAAAGGUCAUUAAACAACUAAAUUCUCUUAUUAGGUUGACUGAAGUGUAUAUGGCUAGUCAGUAUUUGGGUAUUGUAAUAAUCUAUUAGCUUAGUAUGUGUAAUUUAUUUUUCUGGUUGCAACCCAACCAUGCACACAAUAUCGAAAUGUGUAACGAUCACUCCAUAGUAAUACUCUAAUUAUUUAGACAAUUUUAUGGAGAAAUGUAAUUAUUUUGUGGAGCAGGAAUUUUUUACUGACUUCAUUGGAGAAAUGUAUUUAUUUUGGAUGAAGUGGGCUACUCAGUAUUCACGGAUUGUUUGUUCUUGUUCAUCUUAAUGAUUUAGACAAUUUUAUUUGUAAAAGUAUGUUAAUGUGGGACAAAUAUAUUCUGCGUAAACAAGUUCUCUUUAUUUCAUGAAA